AUUUUCGUUGUAGUUAAGUCGUGGCUGCUAAUUAUCUCUCUCAGUCUCUGCCUCCUCUUCUCCGCUUCUCUCUCUAAUUUCUUCGACAUUUCAAGUCCAGAGCUACAGCUGCGGAGCUCCACUUGCCACACAAGUCUUCCCAAAUCUUCCCAAAUCUCCUUUUAAAUCCCAAAGCCCGGGCUUCUCUUCCCGCUCAAUGCUGUAUUCUCCUCUGUUUCGCCACCACCAACUUCCCCGAACCACUCCACUUUUAUAUCAACCCCAAUCCCCACUUCCGAUAAUCCAAUCCAAAACCUCCUCUUCCUACCACUUCCCACCCCGCCCUUUUCUUCCUGCGUUUAUCACAAAAAAUCCACAUGGGCGUCCAAAUUCGUCCCUGGAUUCUUCGAGUUUGAACUCUUCAGCUCGCCCUUUGACAGACGGAGAUGAUUUCGAUGUUGAAUUGGGCCGCCUUUUGGCAUUAUUGCCGGAACAAAUGCGGCGGAGGGUUAGCGAGCACCCGGAGCUUCAUCAGUUGAUUGAAGUGGUUAUGGAUUUAGGUCGGAAGCCUCUGGCUCGGUUUCCUUCUGGAGACUUUGUUUUAUCGGAUUCCCCGAUCUCGGCUGAAGAUCUUGAACAUGCUACGUCUCAGGUUGGUGACUUUGUGGUUGACAAUCGAGCAGGCAUUAGCAGGACAUUACACCGCAUAAGUGCCAUAAGGAAUAGAAAAGGUGCAAUUAUUGGUUUAACUUGUCGAGUUGGUCGGGCAAUAUCUGGUAGUGCUAAUUUGCUGCGAGAUUUGGUGCAAGAUGGGGCUUCCUUGUUGCUCAUAGGACCUCCAGGUGUGGGAAAAACUACAAUUAUUCGGGAAAUAGCCAGAAUGCUUGCAAAUGAUUACAAGAAACGUGUUAUGAUUGUUGACACCUCCAAUGAGAUAGGUGGGGAUGGUGAUAUACCCCAUGCAGGAAUAGGGAAUGCACGUCGGAUGCAAGUCCCCAACUCUGAAGUGCAGCAUAAGGUACUGAUAGAAGCAGUUGAAAAUCAUAUGCCACAAGUGAUUGUGAUCGAUGAAAUUGGAACAAAACUUGAAGCUAUGGCUGCAAGCACUAUAGCGCAACGUGGAAUUCAGCUAGUUGCCACUGCUCAUGGUGUAACAAUUGAGAACUUGAUAAUGAAUCCAGCAUUAGAGAUGCUUGUUGGAGGAAUACAGAGUGUGACAUUAGGGGAUGAAGAGGCCAGUCGAAGAGGUGUCCAGAAAACAGUUUUGGAAAGGAAAGGACCUUCAACAUUUAGUUGUGGGGUGGAGAUAAUUUCAAAGACCGAGUUGCGAGUUUAUCGUAGCCUAGAGUCAACAGUGGAUGCCAUUCUCUCCGGUCGUUUUCCAAAUGUUGAAGUUCGCAAGAUGAGUUCUCAGGAAAUGAAAGAAACUAUAGAAAGGGAACUUCUUAUUAGCACUUCCUCUGAUGAGGAAAAUGAGAUUGUGGUUGAAGUGACUCCAGGGAUAACCAAUGAAAGAAUUGGCCGUGAUACUUUCACUUCUGAGGUCCCUGCAAAGAUAGGAGAGGAGUGUUGGGAAGAAAGGGUUCCCCUUCACCUAUUUGUUUAUGGGAUCCUCGAGGCAAGCGUGAUUCAAGUGAUAAAACAGUUGAAAAUAAAUGAUGCUGCCAUUCUGUUAACUGAUAAUAUCAGUGAGGCAGAUGCAAUACUUGCCAUGCAAUCGAAGCUCAAGAAGAAUUCCAGGAUUCAAGCUGCUGCUAAAUCUCAUUGCAUACCCAUUCAUGUGACUAAGACAAGCUCGUUGGAUCAAAUUACAAAGGCAAUAAGGGCAUUAAUGAGUGAUAUUAAAGAUGGUCUGAAGGAUUCUGAACCAGCAGACGAGAUGAAAUCAUCUGAGAAGCUUGAUGCCUUAGAGGAGGCAAGGAUAGCCAUUGAGCAGGUAGUCAUUCCUAAAGGGGAACCUGUGGAGCUACUCCCAAGGCCAUCCAAUAUUAUGUCUCUGCAGAUGGAACUUAUUCGAAAGUACCAACUGGAAGCAGAGAGAAUUGGAACAGAAUCAGAUAGACGCCUCCGCAUCCUUCCCUUCCAUACGGGAAAAACCAGUGAUACAGAUGGUACUCGUGGAGGAUUUGAUGACUUUGUCAGUGCUGAUGGCAACAUGAAUGGUUCAUUCUACAGCGUGGACAGAUUACCUUUAUUGCCUGAUUAAAAUGUUGUGUAUAUAUACUGGGCAUUGCUCCGUAUCAACAUUGUAAUUUGUAUAGCAGCCUUACGAGCUUCCAUUGCCAGGCACUGUCUGCCAUCCCAAUAUGUCAAAAAUGCUUCUCAGCUCUUCUAUACACUAUAUAUAGAUAAUCCUUUCAUGAUAGUGGAAGAGAGUAACUUUAUUCCAAUCGUAGUAUCCUUUUAUAUCAAUAAUGGGAAUAGAGGUCCCAUUACGUACCCAUAUAUAUCCUAUCAUGGUAGCUCUGAGUGACUGCACCGAGUUGGUGGUUUGUCAAGCAAACAUUGAUCUUUCGACAAUGGCUGUCCUGAAAUUCUGGUUUUGCCUCGUCCUAGUCGGCUUUU
Juglans regia (Persian walnut) is the source of this 2544-nucleotide RNA transcript. It is a transcript of the gene named protein SEEDLING PLASTID DEVELOPMENT 1, with no coding region annotated. The record is from RefSeq and is a predicted model, not a curated record. The transcript has 10 exons. NCBI's taxonomy places the organism in Eukaryota, Viridiplantae, Streptophyta, Magnoliopsida, Fagales, Juglandaceae.